CCUACGGGAUGUAGCAGUAGGGAAUCUUCCACAAUGGGCGAAAGCCUGAUGGAGCAACGCCGCGUGGGUGAAGAAGGUCUUCGGAUCGUAAAACCCUGUUGUUAGAGAAGAAAGUGCGUGAGAGUAACUGUUCACGUUUCGACGGUAUCUAACCAGAAAGCCACGUCUAACUACGUGCCAGCAGCCGCGGUAAUAAGUAGGUGGCAAGCGUUAUCCGGAUUUAUUGGGCGUAAAGGGAACGCAGGCGGUCUUUUAAGUCUGAUGUGAAAGCCUUCGGCUUAACCGGAGUAGUGCAUUGGAAACUGGGAGACGUGAGUGCAGAAGAGGAGAGUGGAACUCCAUGUGUAGCGGUGAAAUGCGUAGAUAUAUGGAAGAACACCAGUGGCGAAAGCGGCUCUCUGGUCUGUAACUGACGCUGAGGUUCGAAAGCGUGGGUAGCAAACAGGAUUAGAUACCCCUGUAGUC
This 465-nucleotide ribosomal RNA is filed under the name uncultured bacterium. RNAcentral describes it as "partial 16S ribosomal RNA". It matches the Rfam family "Bacterial small subunit ribosomal RNA", at positions 338 to 795 of the family's 1533-position model. The record is from RNAcentral.